GAGGCUAUAGCUCAGUGGUAGAGCACAUUCUUGGCACACAUGAGGUCCUGGGUUCAAUCCUCAGUACCUCU
RNAcentral lists this transfer RNA (71 nucleotides) under Camelus bactrianus (Bactrian camel). It matches the Rfam family "tRNA". From Rfam's summary of the family: Transfer RNA (tRNA) molecules are approximately 80 nucleotides in length. Their secondary structure includes four short double-helical elements and three loops (D, anti-codon, and T loops). Lineage: Eukaryota; Metazoa; Chordata; Mammalia; Artiodactyla; Camelidae. RNAcentral also lists the same sequence under 2 other names. The record is from Rfam by way of RNAcentral.